GUUUGACACGGUCCUACGGUGGCAGGUCUUGCCCCAACUUUUGGCCGUGGCGCGAUGAC
RNAcentral lists this non-coding RNA (59 nucleotides) under uncultured Oceanisphaera sp. Its description in RNAcentral is "Selenocysteine insertion sequence 3". It matches the Rfam family "Selenocysteine insertion sequence 3". Lineage: Bacteria; Pseudomonadati; Pseudomonadota; Gammaproteobacteria; Aeromonadales; Aeromonadaceae. The record is from RNAcentral.